AGCAACCGCGGUAAUUCCAGCUCCAAUAGCGUAUAUUAAAGUUGUUGCAGUUAAAAAGCUCGUAGUUGAAUUUCGGGGUUAGUAAGUUGGUCAUGCCUUCGGUAUGUACUGGCUUUACUGAUUCCUCCUUCUUGACGAACCGUGAUGUCAUUAAUUUGGUGUUGCGGGAAAUCAGGACUGUUACUUUGAAAAAAUUAGAGUGUUUAAAGCAGGCUAACGCUUGAAUACAUUAGCAUGGAAUAAUGAAAUAGGACGUUAAUCCUAUUUUGUUGGUUUCUAGGAUCGACGUAAUGAUUAAUAGGGAUAGUUGGGGGCAUUAGUAUUCAAUUUGUUCAGAGGUGAAAUUCUUGGAUUUAUUGAAGACUAACUACUGCGAAAGCAUUUGCCAAGGAUGUUUUCAUUAAUCAAGAACGAAAGUUAGGGGAUCGAAGACGAUCAGAUACCGUCGUAGUCUUAACCAUAAACUAUGCCGACUAGGGAUCGGAUGAUGUUAUUUUUAAUGACUCA
Molecule: ribosomal RNA, 507 nt
Filed under: uncultured Glomus
Lineage: Eukaryota; Fungi; Glomeromycota; Glomeromycetes; Glomerales; Glomeraceae
Description: SSU rRNA
Rfam family: Eukaryotic small subunit ribosomal RNA
Source: RNAcentral